RNAcentral lists this transfer RNA (65 nucleotides) under Dipodomys ordii (Ord's kangaroo rat). It matches the Rfam family "tRNA". Rfam says of the family: Transfer RNA (tRNA) molecules are approximately 80 nucleotides in length. Lineage: Eukaryota; Metazoa; Chordata; Mammalia; Rodentia; Heteromyidae. The record is from Rfam by way of RNAcentral.
GGUGGCUCAGUGGAAGAGUGCUUGCCUUGCAUGCAUGAGGCUCUGGGUUCAAUUCCUCAGUACCA